Molecule: long non-coding RNA, 69 nt
Organism: Xiphophorus hellerii (green swordtail)
Lineage: Eukaryota; Metazoa; Chordata; Actinopteri; Cyprinodontiformes; Poeciliidae
Exons: 3
Source: RefSeq, a predicted model, not a curated record
AGAGGGAGAGAGAGAGAGGGCGGGGUAGAAAGGGUGGGAGGGAAUGUUCGAUUCAAAAAUGAAGAGAAU